Molecule: non-coding RNA, 107 nt
Filed under: Pseudoalteromonas carrageenovora IAM 12662
Lineage: Bacteria; Pseudomonadati; Pseudomonadota; Gammaproteobacteria; Alteromonadales; Pseudoalteromonadaceae
Description: TPP
Rfam family: TPP riboswitch aptamer (THI element)
About the family: Vitamin B(1) in its active form thiamin pyrophosphate (TPP) is an essential coenzyme that is synthesised by coupling of pyrimidine and thiazole moieties in bacteria. The previously detected thiamin-regulatory element, thi box was extended, resulting in a new, highly conserved RNA secondary structure, the THI element, which is widely distributed in eubacteria and also occurs in some archaea.
Source: RNAcentral
CAAUACUUGUCGGAGUGCCUAAGCUUAACUUAGGCUGAGAUCGCGAAAGCGGGAUCCGUGAACCUGAUCAGGUUAAUACCUGCGUAGGGAACAAGCUGCCUAAAAUG